This 62-nucleotide transfer RNA is filed under the name Pelecotoma fennica. Its description in RNAcentral is "tRNA-Asp". Lineage: Eukaryota; Metazoa; Arthropoda; Insecta; Coleoptera; Ripiphoridae. The record is from RNAcentral.
AAAAAUUUAGUUAAUUCAUAACAUCAAUUUGUCAAAUUGAAAUAAACUAAUAUUAAUUUUUA